CCACAAAAGUUCUUGCUUGUAUUUGUGUUGAGUCUAAGUUUGGAGCAACAAUUACCUUUAAACUGAAUUAAUUAUCCUUUGAUUUAUUUUGAUGAAGUUCAGCCCAUAGUGAUAAAAUAACUGAUCGAUUUUUCAGUGCAGGGAGGAAAAAAUCGUUUGAGCUGAAGCGCACAAUACUUGAAGUCGGUGAACAUGCUGGGGCUUAAAUGAAUGCAUAAUUAUCUUUCUUCAGUUAGGGCUCCUUCAAAUGAGCAUAUGGCUGCCUCUUUGACACACACACACACACACACACACUCACAGCCACCGCUGACGAGAGCUGUUGCGAUGGAGACAAAAGAUGCCAGCUUGUUGCUGAGGAGAAGCGCGAAGCAGACGAAACAACAGGGUGAUUUGCCCCAUCAGCACCAUCUCUUCUCAUGUCACAAUCCAUCUGUCACUUUAUAAUCAUGUUAAUUACAGUAGAAAUAUGUAGCAAGCUAGAAAACACACACUCAUGUUUGUGCUCAUAGGUUCUUUCAGUUUGUGAGGGUCAAAACCAAAAUACCCUGAAAAGUUUUCCUUGAGCAAAGAGAAACUUCUGCUAGACUGUAAAGACAUUUGCUGAUUCAGUCAGACUCAGUGGUGUUGCUGUCCUCGGGUUACUUUUGUAAAUCUACUAUACUUUUGAAUAUUUCAAAUCACUGGCUGAAAAAACAAACAAAAAAAUAACUGCAACAUUGCAUCAUCUGUGUCUAUGUUGUGCUGUAAAAUAAAAUAUUCGAUGGAUAGAUGUUCUACAGAAUGAUUGUAAACAGAACUGUGUGUGUCCUUGGAGGACAUCGGUGGAGCUUUUGAAGGAAGAUGCAGCUGUCUGUGAAUACUGAAAUAUCUUCGUGCAUUAUGUGUGCACACUAAAAUAGAAGUUUUCUUAUACCUCUUUACUUUUUUACUUUUAAACAGAACCUGACACAUGGAGACCUGAUCUAUGAUUCGAUCUAUGAGCUGCUUUAUUUAAUUUAUUCACAUCCUAACAGCCUUACUUUCACAACAGUGCUAUGGCAUUUAAACAGUCAAAGUGGAUUAACAGUAUCGUUGCAGUUAUAUUUUAAGACUGAGUAUUAGGGCCACAUUAAGAAAAAAAAAAACUAAGACUGAGAUUAAAGUCAUUAAUUUACGAAAAUAAAGUCAUUAUGAGAAUAAAGUCAUAAUAAAGUCAUUACUAACAAGUAUAAAGUCAUAAUAAAGAAAUUACCAAUGAGAAUAAAGUCGUACUAAAGUAAUUACUAACGAAAAUAAGUCUUAAUAAAGUCAUUACUUGGGAGAGGAAGUCGUUAUAAAGUCAUUACUAACAAGAAUAAAGUCAUGAUAAAGUAAUUACGAGAAUAAAGUUGUAAUAAAGUAAUUUCCUACAAGAAUAAAGUCUAAAUAAAGUCAUUUCUAACGGGAUGAAGUCAGAAUAAAGUCCCAAUAUUCUAACCUGUUGUUUAAGAUGACAGUUGUUGAAAUGAGAGCCAUGGAGCAUUUUGUGAAUGUGUACUUAAAUAAAGGUUUCUCAAACAAGGAGAUACUUGGUCUUUUGGCACAUCAGCACCACAUUACCAUAAGUAUCAUAAUGGUUUUAUUAAGACUUUAUUCUCAUUAGUAAUUACUUUAUUCUCAUAAAUUCACAACUUUAAUCUCAAAGUUGUUGUGGCCCUAAUACUCUGUCGUAAUAUUUUCAAGUGUAUGAGGUUUUGUCAGUAUUAAAGCUCCAGUGAGGAACUUUUGGUUAAUGUGAAAAGUGUAAAAACUACAGGGCUGUUUUCAGGCAUCAAAAAUUACAGUUUAAAAAUCAUCAUGUCACUGAUGGUCUUGUUUGCUUUCGGAUAUGAUGAGAAGUCAUUAGUAAGAUAUAUAUAUAUAAAAAAAAAACUCCCCCGCAGAACAUGCAAAUCGUUUCCCUAUUAAAAUAAUGGAAAAAGGGAUCAUGCCAUGAUCCUUUCAACUAAGGGUUUAGGGGAUUUUACCUGAGAUGGCCAGCAUUAUCAAGAGAUGAUUUAGGCCAAAAAAUAAUUUUUAUCAUAAAAUGACUUAAGCAAUUAUAUUAAUAGGAUGACGAAAUGGAGAAAACAGCCUAAAGUCUGUACACCUGCACCACCAGGUAACUUAACUCUCCAGAUGGCAGUGUGUGAAAUACAAUCACAGCACUAACCGUCCAAGUCUAAAGGGUUGGAAUAUAAAACUGUAAACAAAUCUAUGCUAAUAAAUGUGACUGAAUACUUACAUUUCUAAGAGGCAUAAUAACACACGUUUUCUGUGGUUUCUUUCAUGUCCGAGCUGCUGUAGAUGUAUCCUGAAUGCUGUGCUGUCUCAGCGUCUUUUUCUCAUGCUUCUUGUGUUGUAAUGACAGUGAAUGAGAGUGUUUUUGUGUUUCCGCUGCCUAGCUUAACCUUUAAAUCCUUACGUCAUGUUAAAUGAUGAAUGUUCUUGCUGUCGCUAUUUUCCUCGCCAUUUUCCUGUACAGUUGAGUAUUUUGAUCAGGGUAUCUUGAAAUGAAUUUUAAAUAAAAAUAUGUUCAAAUCAAAUAAAG
RNAcentral lists this long non-coding RNA (2548 nucleotides) under Xyrichtys novacula (pearly razorfish). Lineage: Eukaryota; Metazoa; Chordata; Actinopteri; Labriformes; Labridae. The record is from RNAcentral.